CACUAGGAAGCUAAUUAAGGUAUAGCAUUAACCUUUUAAGUUAAAGAUUGGUGCCUCCUGAACACCCCUAAUGA
RNAcentral lists this transfer RNA (74 nucleotides) under Odontobutis obscura. RNAcentral's name for it is "tRNA-Lys". It matches the Rfam family "tRNA". Rfam says of the family: Transfer RNA (tRNA) molecules are approximately 80 nucleotides in length. Their secondary structure includes four short double-helical elements and three loops (D, anti-codon, and T loops). Further hydrogen bonds mediate the characteristic L-shaped molecular structure. tRNAs have two regions of fundamental functional importance: the anti-codon, which is responsible for specific mRNA codon recognition, and the 3' end, to which the tRNAs corresponding amino acid is attached (by aminoacyl-tRNA synthetases). tRNAs cope with the degeneracy of the genetic code in two manners: having more than one tRNA (with a specific anti-codon) for a particular amino acid; and 'wobble' base-pairing, i.e. permitting non-standard base-pairing at the 3rd anti-codon position. Lineage: Eukaryota; Metazoa; Chordata; Actinopteri; Gobiiformes; Odontobutidae. The record is from RNAcentral.